RNAcentral lists this ribosomal RNA (438 nucleotides) under uncultured bacterium. RNAcentral's name for it is "bacterial SSU rRNA". It matches the Rfam family "Bacterial small subunit ribosomal RNA", at positions 338 to 767 of the family's 1533-position model. The record is from RNAcentral.
CCUACGGGGGGCAGCAGUGGGGAAUCUUCCGCAAUGGGCGCAAGCCUGACGGAGCAACGCCGCGUGAAUGAAGAAGGUCUUCGGAUCGUAAAGUUCUGUUCUUAGGGAAGAAGUCUUAGGUUGUGAAUAAUGACUUAAGGUGACGGUACCUAUGGAGAAAGCUCCGGCUAACUACGUGCCAGCAGCCGCGGUAAUACGUAGGGAGCGAGCGUUGUCCGGAAUUACUGGGCGUAAAGGGCGCGUAGGCGGGAACUUAAGUUAGAUGUGAAAACUCCGGGCUUAACCUGGAGACUGCAUUUAAAACUGGGUUUCUUGAGGGCAGGAGAGGAAAGUGGAAUUCCUAGUGUAGCGGUGAAAUGCGUAGAUAUUAGGAGGAACACCAGUGGCGAAGGCGACUUUCUGGACUGUACCUGACGCUGAGGCGCGAAAGCAUGGGGA